UGGGGAAUAUUGCACAAUGGAGGAAACUCUGAUGCAGCAACGCCGCGUGAGGGAAGACGGUUUUCGGAUUGUAAACCUCUGUCCUUGGUGAAGAUAAUGACGGUAGCCAAGGAGGAAGCUCCGGCUAACUACGUGCCAGCAGCCGCGGUAAUACGUAGGGAGCAAGCGUUGUCCGGAUUUACUGGGUGUAAAGGGUGCGUAGGCGGCUUUACAAGUCAGGCGUGAAAUAUAUGGGCUUAACCCAUAGACUGCGUUUGAAACUGUAGAGCUUGAGUGAAGUAGAGGUAGGCGGAAUUCCCGGUGUAGCGGUGAAAUGCGUAGAGAUCGGGAGGAACACCAGUGGCGAAGGCGGCCUACUGGGCUUUAACUGACGCUGAGGCACGAAAGCAUGGGUAGCAAACA
Molecule: ribosomal RNA, 402 nt
Filed under: uncultured prokaryote
Description: bacterial SSU rRNA
Rfam family: Bacterial small subunit ribosomal RNA
Source: RNAcentral